This 253-nucleotide ribosomal RNA is filed under the name uncultured bacterium. RNAcentral describes it as "partial 16S ribosomal RNA". It matches the Rfam family "Bacterial small subunit ribosomal RNA", at positions 524 to 776 of the family's 1533-position model. The record is from RNAcentral.
UACAGAGGGUGCAAGCGUUAAUCGGAAUUACUGGGCGUAAAGGGUGUGUAGGUGGUUUGAUAAGUUGGGUGUGAAAGUCCUGGGCUUAACCUAGGGAUUGCGCUCAAUACUGUUAAGCUAGAGUACUGUAGAGGAAGGUGGAAUUUCCAGUGUAGCGGUGAAAUGCGUAGAUAUUGGAAGGAACAUCAGUGGCGAAGGCGACUUUCUGGACAGAUACUGACACUGAGGCACGAAAGCGUGGGGAGCAAACAGG